GGAACCUGCAGACACUUGUGGAGGAGUCGGC
This 31-nucleotide non-coding RNA is filed under the name Homo sapiens (human). Lineage: Eukaryota; Metazoa; Chordata; Mammalia; Primates; Hominidae. The record is from RNAcentral.